Long non-coding RNA from Neopsephotus bourkii (Bourke's parrot), 1660 nucleotides. RefSeq lists it as uncharacterized. NCBI's taxonomy places the organism in Eukaryota, Metazoa, Chordata, Aves, Psittaciformes, Psittacidae. The record is from RefSeq and is a predicted model, not a curated record. The transcript has 3 exons.
UUCUAAGUACUGCACAGGGUUUUGUUACCCCUGGCAGUCUACUGUUCCCCUACUUCAAACAGGGCUGCGUUACCUAUUGCUGCACAUGUGUAGCUCAGAAAGAUCCUAUUUUGUUCCCACCAGUACAAGAUGAAGAGAAGAUCCCGCUGAGAUGCUGUGUUCUGAAUGUUCAUGUAGGUUAAGCCUCCCUUGCCUUUUUCUGCUGCAUAUUCAACUUCUGCACACUUGGAGCCUGUUGUCUUUUUGUUCCCUGGAGGUGUAGAAAUUAUUCUUCUAUGAUGAUUUCAUUCUGAACAAGCACCAUCUUUUCUUUAUAUUCAUCCUGCCCUCUCCAAAAAGAAGGCAAGAUGACAAGGGCUACAUUUUAGAAAUUAAUAAUUGCAUUCUCGCAAAUGCUUGGCUCUAAGAAAACAAUGCUUCAAAAAGGGAAAAGCCAGUAGAUUGUGUUUACUUAUUUAAAACAUUCACCAAGGAACAAUUCCCCCAGAUUGAGUUUUAAGCUGUCAAGAAUCAAAGAAAACAAAUGAAGUGGCACUUAAUUUAAUUGAAAAUUAUGCUUAUGGGGUUUUGUGUCUGCAUUCAAUUUUUAGCACAUGUAGUCUUUUGAUAUUGCUAAGGUUAAAAUUAAAAUUAUGUAUUUAUUGCUAUUGUCUGGAAAUACUGCAGACAAAGUACAGGCUCUAAAGAACUGGUGUUGAAUAACUUGUGUCUUUGUAGCAGUUCUAUUUUUAAGUAAUACACAGUAUCUAAGGGAAGAUGUUACAGGAGAAUUGGCUGUAAAAAUGAAAGGUAGUAACUGGAGCUUUGAUUUAAUUGGUGUGUGACCUCUGCUGCUUCCUGACAGAAGCCUGUCUGAUAGAGCCAAUGCCAGCCAGCUCCAAGAUGGACUCACCACUGGCCGAGCCCAUCAGAGAUGGUGGUAGCACCUCUGGGAUACCAUUUUAAGAGGGAAAAAAAAAAGGAAACCUCUGUGCAAUUGCAGCUGGAGAGAGGUGUCAGGAUAUGUGAGCAGAAUAAGUCUGCAGACACCAAGGUCAGUGAAGAAGGAGGGAAGAAGUUUCUCCAGGUGCCAGAGCAGAGAUUCCCCUGCAACGCAUGGUUGGUGUGCGCCACUGUGAGGUAGGCCCAUGCAAUCCGUGGAGAUCCACAGUGCAGCAGAUCUCCACCUGUAGCCCUUGAAGGACCACACACAGGAGAGGAAGAUGCCUGAAGGAGGCUGUGACCUCAUGGGAAACCUAUGGUGGAGCAGGCUUCUGGCAGGACCUGUGUCCUCAUGGAGAGAGGAGCUCACGCUGGAGCAGACCAUCUGGAAGCAGGAAAGACUGUCAAUGAGACUUUCAGAAAUCAGCAGUAUGAAAUACAUGAGAAGACCGGGUGCUUAGUAUAGGACAUGGGUCUCUGCCAUUGGCCUAGCAUAUGCCAUUCAGAAUAUCUUCCAUGUUAUCAUCUCAAUGCCCAGAUGGGACCUGUUGCCUGCAAACUCAAGUGAGUCAUCCUAGCUGACUAGAUCUACUGUUUUGCAUACACCUCAAUGGCUGCAAAAAGAUCUUUGUGUUUGGGAGGAGAAAUUGAUUUGCAUAAGCUUCAUUUUUAUUCAUGCCAUAGCUGUACUCUGCCAAUUAUGCUAUAAAUAAACUGAUGUGUAGGCAGGUAAUGUAUA